Molecule: long non-coding RNA, 775 nt
Organism: Eurytemora carolleeae
Lineage: Eukaryota; Metazoa; Arthropoda; Copepoda; Calanoida; Temoridae
Exons: 3
Source: RefSeq, a predicted model, not a curated record
CAGGGAAAACUGUUGGUAGAUGAUGGAAAUAGUAUUGCAGAAUUCAAGGAAUUUGACUGUAACCUGAGUAGGUCGGAAAUAAGAAACUGUCGGAAGGAAAUCAAGGAACUAGACGGACAGAGGCUUAUUUUCCGAAACUGCGGAGUCAAAGAUGACAGAACUGGUUGCAGUACAGAUGUACACAAUAUAACAACAUGCUUCUGCAGUACAGAUUAUUGUAAUUCAGCGCCAACGUUUUCAAACCCACAUUUGUUUUAUCUGAUGCUAUUUGUUUUGGUUUUAUUUUGUCAACAUGCUGAUCGUAACUAAAACCUCAUUUGAAGUAUAAAUGGACUGACUUUUACACAGCUUCUGCAAACAGGGGUAGUUUCGCAGUACACGAUUCUAUCACUUGUUUCCUAAUACUUUUUGAUUGUUGGUAACCGCAAAAAAAGUUCUCGGAAAAAAUCUCUGGAAAUAAAGUCCCAUCACUUUCUUUCCUUGGACUUUUUUUCUGAUUCCGGUAUGAUUUUUACAAAAACUUCCCGGGAAAAAAGUCCUAUUAUAGUAGAAAAUGCAUGGUAACAAAGGAUGUUUAUAACCGUGUAAAAAAGGGGGCUUGAUAUUUCAAACACCCCUAGCUAUGUUCAAUAUGCAGAUGUAUAGAAGAAAAGUUGUUUUUAUGAAAACGUCUCAUGGACUUAACCUCAUUUUCACAAGACUUAGGACUUUUUUUCAUGGUUUUUUUCUUCGAAUAUAUUUUUUUGAAGACUUUCAAUCCUGUGAUCUUAUUUCC